UCCUCCUCCUCCACCCGCGGCCGCGAAGACAUCGCUUCUCCUCCUCGCACGCUCAUCCUCCUCCCCGCAUGUACUGAAGCCGCAUCCUCGCAGGAGCUCCUCCCCGCUGCCGCCGCUCCACUGAAAACUCGCCGAAGCCGCCGCCACUGCCACUACCUCCGUCGGAUCCUGCUUCUUCCCCCAUCGCCGCAGCCGUCCUCCUCGCUCGCUCCUCCUCCUCCCCGUGUGAUUUAAGCCGCAUCCUCGCCGGAGCUCCUCCACGCUGCCGCCGCUCCGCCGCAUCCUAACCGGAGCAGCCGCCGCCGAAUCCUACUUCUUCAUCACCGCCGUGGCCGGAGCCGAUCUCGGCCCCUUCCGCCGCCACCGACACCGCCGUGCACUCCACCGCUGGCCAGCACCGAGGUCGGCCCUCUUCCCCAUCUGCCACUUCAUCAUCAGAUCACCAAUGUUUGCCCCAUUGUUGAAAGCCUAUAGUACGAGUAAGUCCCUCAAAUCCUGUUUCUUUUCUUAAUCUUCUCCGUACGUGUGGAAAUUUUGAUCUCUAUGUCUGAUGAUCUUUGUUCUUGAGCCUUGGCUAUGUUGGAUAAAUAUUCAAGAAACCUAGAUAGUGACUGCUGAUACGAUUCCUGUUAUGUCCUGUCUGAUGCUGAAUCACGAGGGAUUCUCCAAGAGGACGGGAAGCUGUCAAACAGCACCAGGCAGUCAAGUUGUAGAGAUGGUGAAAAGUAUGGAGAAGCUGCAGUCAAGUUGCUUGCUGCUAAGUUAGGACUAACAGGUGAUUUUUCAUCUGAAUACCAAUCCAGAAAUAAUUGAGGCAAAGAAUCAUGCCUUUCUUCUACGCAAAAAUGAUCAAUGGGUGCUUGCUGAUAAAAGAAUGCAUAUAAAUAACAAAUGGUGGAGGCGGAUAAGGAGGCUGGUCAAGUCUAGCCUCCUACAACUAUGUCACUGCAGUACAACAUCAAAAAAGGAGAUUAUGAUAUCUGAAAACUACAAUCGUGAAAUUUGAAAAAUAAAGUGCAUCAAGUUUGCCAUGGAGAUGGCAACUACCAACCCAUAGUCAUGCGGACAUCAAGAAACAUCAUAGGAGCACCUCACCAUCACAUGGCUAUGAGCAAGAGGGGUCUGCUAGAGUAAUCCACUGAACUUUGUUGAACUUAUAAUUUUCAUCUGCAAGCUCUGGUUAUCUAAUUGCUUUGAAUUUCUUAUCAUCAUUCAAUAAACCAGCUGUUGUGAAUUCCCAAAACAAAGCUGGAUGCGCUAGACACCAUCUGAAGUUGGUCCAUGGCAACUCAAUUUCUUCUAGCAAAUACAGUAUUAUGAACAACAACUUUUCAUGAUUCUAACCUCCAAUAAUCUGAAGUUCCCAGUUUGAUUAUAUAAUCUAGGAACCAAAUCAUGAAGCUGGCGACAUUGGUAAGAGGUAAUGGUCUAUAUUAAUCUAUAUUGAGCUACGGUUUGUAUUUUGUUAUAGGGGUAAAUUAUGAUGUCCUUUUAUAGGAGAAAAGUUUAGUUGGUCAAUGGCAGGAUCAUCUCAGCAGUAAGCCAGUAAACAUACUAAUGAAUCUGAAAAAAUUCCAUAUAAAAAACAUUGCAGAGUAAUUUUUGGAAUGUUUCACGUCCAAUCUGUAUUCCCCCUUUAUUCUUCUCAUAAAUUAUCUUAUGAUGAGACAUUGGCCUUUUUAUUUAAGAUCAAAUUUAUGAGGCUAUUCAAUUGUGGCCUUAUUUUUGCCAUAUAUAUAGGACAGCCAUAUGGGGCACCAUGGUGUGUGCGUGUGCUGGUGAUGCACCAUGGUGUGUGCAUGUGCUGGUGAUUGUUCUUCUCCAGCUGCAUUAUGCAUCUCUUUUCAAAUCUUAUGAUAGGUGCUUGUGAUGCCAUCCAGCAAAACCACUGGUUAUUUUGCUGGUAUACUGAUAUUAGGCCCAUAAAUGAAUGUUUUUUUUUGCUUUUUACAUUCUUUGGUGAUGAAGUUUGCAAUCUAUGACAUUAGAAAAAAGGUAUGGUGAUUGUUUCUAUUUUUCAGUAUGUGAUUUUUCCAAUGUUUUUCAAUAUGCCUAUUUUUUACACAUCUAUACUCCUUAUGCAUUAUGCAUCUCUCAAUAGUUGAGAGCCUUAUUUUAUUUUCCUUGCAGGAAAUGCUGUUGAUCAAUUUAAUUUUGUAUUACGCUACUGUAAGAUGGCUUGAUAGGAGUUUUGCAAUACAUACUGCACUACUGUAGGCACUGGCACAGUUUGAGAGCACAACAUAUAGAGUUUCCUUAUUCAACACAAAGGCCAUAUCGUUUCAUUCAACAAAUGGGCUAAUAAUGCCAUUACAUUUGACGCAUGCCACUACAUUUCAGAACACAAAUUCAGCCAUUUGUUUCAGAACACUACAUUCCUGAACAAAGCAUACAUAUUUGUUUUGUGGUUUACAAUGUGAUGUUUAUAUCACAGGCUUUGUGUACUUGAUGCUGGAAAACAUUUAUGACUUUAUAUAUACUUCCUCAAACAAUUUAAGAUUCUCUUUCUUGAUUUGUUUCUGCAUGUAAUGGUGAGUUUUCUGAUUACUAAUAACUGUCAUAUGGCUUCAUUUAUAUUCGACCCUAUGGCAAUGUCGGAGCUAACCGGGUUUGAUUAUUUGUGAUCACCUCAAGUGUUGCUGCUUAAGCCAAAGGAAGAGGAAAAACUUUUAUAUAAGCAUUUCAUUUCAUAUAGGUUCCCACAUCUUUUCUAGGUACUAUUGACACUCUAGAAAAGAUUGGAUGGCCUUCUAGGUAACAUUGAUACUCCUGUCCAAAAGGUGUUUGACGAAUUUGGAAGGCCUUCGCUGAUUGCUAAAUAUUUGGAAGGCCUUCGUUGUUUGCUGAAGAUAGACCAAACCUGUUUACUUAAACAAGAAAUAGAUGGUUGUGGGGGAACAUUCAUCUUUACAUUCUUUAGCUUUCCCUAAUUUUUCAGUAUCUUGUAGUACAUGAAAUUGCAAUUCCUUUUACUUACUAGAAAGUAAAUGUCAUGCAUUUGCAACUUUGUUAUACAACAAAUAUAUCAAUAGGGGUUUGUGAGCAAUGUUUUGAAAAUUAGAUUAUAUCAUGUAAGGAUUUCAUAUCUUUUUUUACCAAGACUAUCUUACGAGUUUUUAGCCUGUAUUUUGUGUUCAAAUCUUGAUGUUUUCAUGCAGUCAAUCUUGACAAGAAUGCCACCAUCCUUUUCUUUUUUGCCAUGGAUUUCAUUGUUAUGCUGUAAUCUGGUGUGGAAUAUAGGAAUGGCUACUUUGUACAUUAUGAAUAUACAUGUACCUUUGUUGGCUAGAAAGUAGUGUGAUUCAACACAAAGGAUUUUAUAGUAAUCAUCCAAAUUGUCAUUUUACUAUGGUGUAUGAAACUCUAUUUUUACCUCAA
This is a non-coding RNA of Oryza sativa Japonica Group (Japanese rice), 3378 nucleotides long. The record is from RefSeq and is a predicted model, not a curated record. Lineage: Eukaryota; Viridiplantae; Streptophyta; Magnoliopsida; Poales; Poaceae.